GUUCCGUCCCGUUCCCCCCGCCCGACACCCGACCUGGACCCCCGCUCGGCACACCUCCCCCAACCCCCGUCCGAGCGUCCGUGUAGAUCGUGGGAGGAUUCAGUUUCCGAAUCAGCCUCCCGCCGGCGACCCUCUGGUGAUGCGCUGCCCGGUUUCCCCCUCGCACCGUCCCGGCGAGGCCCUGCGCCGCCGGCUCCCGUGCCGUCCCGGCGAGACGUCCGCCCCGGCCACCCCCGCCUGCUCCCCGGCAAGGCGACCCUCAGGUGAUGCGCUGCCCCUUCUUGUGCCGCAUCGGCCCGCUGCAGACGUUUGAGCCGGGCUCCUGGUCCCCGUCGCGUCGCCCCAUUGAGGCCCUGCGUCACCGGCUUGCAUGUCCGUCCCUUUGCCGUGUGGUCCACAGCUCGUCCUCAUCGACUAGCUCGCUGCGUUGAAGAGCAGCAGCGGUAGGUUCAUACCCCUUCUUUCCUGCGGAAUCCUCAAAUUUGCUCGUGAGUUCCCCCUUCCGACCCCGAUUGACUACAAGAGUUCGUCCUCGGUAGUGGCUCUUCCUAUCCCUCCCCUUUGUCGUGGAUUUCUUCAGAUUAAUGUGCUCUGAUUCUUCCCCCCAGCGCAAAAUGCCUUGUAUUCCCUUCGUUGGUGCCGAUGAUUUGUUGCAAUCUCGUAGUAGCGUGAUUGGAUUGGUAGAGCAUUCUUGGCCAUAGAUUGUUGCAAUCUUGUAGUAGCCUGAUUCUUUUCCAUGUUCCCUGUGAUUACUUAGAGUCUGAUUUUUCCAUGUUCAGUUCCAAUCUUCAGAUGUUUCCUGCUCAGAGGUUGGUCCAUAAGAUGGCUACCAAUCGAAGGAGGGUGGUCUUUGGGUGCACGUAGAAUGUGUUUGAGGUUCCCCUCAGACUAGAACAGGAAGCACCACGUGCUAGUGAUGCCGCACCUGUGCUGACUCAUGGUCUUGCUUCGACCUGUGACUGUGAGAGGCCAAUGCGUGUAACACAUCAAGGCAAAAGGGAGCAUGAUGCAAAGGCUCGGACAAGUCUCCACAGAUCGGAAGAGGAAUGUUUCUGAUGAAGCUGUUGGCGUAUGGUGACUUCGUUGAUGAUCAUCUUUCCCGUAUGCCAAAUAAAUUGUAGUUCUUUUUUAUAAAAAAAAUUGCAGUUCUUCCCAAGGUUGAAUCAGCAAUCAGCAAAUGUGCCUCUCUCCAAUCACUGACUAGCCACAUCACUACCUCAAAGAGGGAAGAUGUGCAGUUUUGUAUGCUUUUUAUUUACCAGGUCUGCCAAAGUAAGAACACUAUAAAGCGUUCUACUAGACUCAAUGUCAGGUGCUUCUCACAAUUCUCUAGGUUGGUCCACUGCUCACAAUGGUGCUGAUGCAAUAGAAAGCAGGAAAUUCCUUUGGUUCAUGGAUAAGAUAAGAUAAGAUGAGUCCAAAUGACAUGAAAAUCUGCAUUGUAUUGGCCCUGGUAAGGUCCUAAUGAUACACCCCGAAUAUCAGCAUGGUUCUUGGAUUGCCACAUGAAUAGCUAGUUCCGGGUCAUUAGCUUUGUCGUGGGCUGAUCUGUAUAGCUAGUUCAGCUAGCUAUUUUUUUAUUGAUUACCAGUUGUUAAGAGUAUUGAUCCACAAUUUCAUUAUUUUUUUUGCCUCAGCAUCCCAAAUUUGUCUCGGAAUGAUGUGCGAUUAUAUGCAAUAGGUAUAUAGGUGCUGACGCUAAUUUCAUCAAGUUCCACAUAUUUCUGGUGAAAAAGGGCUAUUGUUUCAACCAUAUUCUGCAACUGAACUGAAAAUGUUUAGUUUAAGCAAAAUGUCGGGAGGUUUUCUUUUGAUUUUAGAAAGGAUAAAAUGAUUUUUGCAAUCUCGUAGUCAAAUAUGGGAUUUCUUCCAAUCUGCUGCACACACAUGGGAUUUAUGCUGUCUCUGCAGGAUGAUGGUAACAUUCAGCAGCCCACGGCUAUCCCCAACCAACGAGUUAUAGGAGACGAGCAGGUGCCUGAUGAUGUGCCGUGAAGCCCCAGACCUGUCCAGCUCCGACACGAACGCCACGUGCAGAGCACCUCCGUCCAGAUUCUGGCCACUGGAUAUCUUCUUGCUAACUUCCAGGCGUUGAGGCGGCAGUGACUAAGACGAGGUCAGAAGGAAACUGCAAGAGUGGAUACACGAGCUUAGAUUGCAGCGAGCUCAGCAUGACAUGUCUCUAACCACGAGGAUAAACACUGUAUCAUUUUGGUGUGCACAUUCAUCAUUUUGUUUUUUCUAAAAAAAGAAUUCAGUUUACAAAUGCCAAUGUGUACGAGGUCAGAAGCUAGCUGAAAGAACGACUACAAGGGACAAGAUGGACUUUGAGACCCAUAGAGCAUAAAUUAGAUUUAUUGUUCAAUUUGUAUUCCUUCACUCACCUGGCAACAAAUCUAUUUGCAAAAUACGUAUGACCUGAUUGUAGUACCGGCACUGCUCUAUGGAAUGGGAGUAAAGUAC
This is a long non-coding RNA of Panicum virgatum (switchgrass), 2463 nucleotides long. RefSeq lists it as uncharacterized. The record is from RefSeq and is a predicted model, not a curated record. Lineage: Eukaryota; Viridiplantae; Streptophyta; Magnoliopsida; Poales; Poaceae. The transcript is spliced from 3 exons.